CGGUGGAGUAUGUGGUUUAAUUCGAUGCAACGCGAAGAACCUUACCUGGUCUUGACAUCCCGGAGACCCUUAGGAAACUAGGGGUGCUUCCAUCUGGAAGAAUCUGGAGACAGGUGCUGCAUGGCUGUCGUCAGCUCGUGUCGUGAGAUGUUGGGUUAAGUCCCGCAACGAGCGCAACCCUUGCCUUUAGUUGCCAGCAGUUCGGCUGGGCACUCUAAAGGGACUGCCGGUGUUAAACCGGAGGAAGGUGGGGAUGACGUCAAGUCCUCAUGGCCUUUAUGACCAGGGCUACACACGUACUACAAUGGCCGAUACAAAGGGCAGCGACACUGCGAGGUGAAGCCAAUCCCGUAAAAUCGGUCUCAGUCCGGAUUGGAGUCUGCAGCUCGACUCCAUGAAGUUGGAAUCGCUAGUAAUCGUGGAUCAGCAUGCCACGGUGAAUACGUUCCCGGGCCUU
RNAcentral lists this ribosomal RNA (457 nucleotides) under uncultured Desulfobulbus sp. RNAcentral's name for it is "bacterial SSU rRNA". It matches the Rfam family "Bacterial small subunit ribosomal RNA", at positions 930 to 1382 of the family's 1533-position model. The record is from RNAcentral. Lineage: Bacteria; Pseudomonadati; Thermodesulfobacteriota; Desulfobulbia; Desulfobulbales; Desulfobulbaceae.